This 611-nucleotide ribosomal RNA is filed under the name Bacillus sp. AU3-05. Its description in RNAcentral is "bacterial SSU rRNA". It matches the Rfam family "Bacterial small subunit ribosomal RNA", at positions 35 to 630 of the family's 1533-position model. Lineage: Bacteria; Bacillati; Bacillota; Bacilli; Caryophanales; Bacillaceae. The record is from RNAcentral.
GCUGGCGGCGUGCCUAAUACAUGCAAGUCGAGCGAAUCGGAGGGAGCUUGCUCCCGAUGAUUAGCGGCGGACGGGUGAGUAACACGUGGGCAACCUGCCUGUAAGACUGGGAUAACUCCGGGAAACCGGGGCUAAUACCGGAUAAUAUCUAUUUAUACAUAUAAUUAGAUUGAAAGAUGGUUCUGCUAUCACUUACAGAUGGGCCCGCGGCGCAUUAGCUAGUUGGUGAGGUAACGGCUCACCAAGGCGACGAUGCGUAGCCGACCUGAGAGGGUGAUCGGCCACACUGGGACUGAGACACGGCCCAGACUCCUACGGGAGGCAGCAGUAGGGAAUCUUCCGCAAUGGACGAAAGUCUGACGGAGCAACGCCGCGUGAGUGAUGAAGGUUUUCGGAUCGUAAAACUCUGUUGUUAGGGAAGAACAAGUAUCGGAGUAACUGCCGGUACCUUGACGGUACCUAACCAGAAAGCCACGGCUAACUACGUGCCAGCAGCCGCGGUAAUACGUAGGUGGCAAGCGUUGUCCGGAAUUAUUGGGCGUAAAGCGCGCGCAGGCGGUUCCUUAAGUCUGAUGUGAAAGCCCACGGCUCAACCGUGGAGGGUCAUUGGA